AUGCUUCCUUCUAGGAGGUUCCUGUCUAAGUUCAGUGCUUCCAACCGGAUACAUGCACCAAGUGCGGAUGGGAUUUUGCCUCUGAGUUUGUUGUGCGAAAGGUUCAAGGAGCCAAGGUUUAUCAAGCUACCAAUUUCCAGAGGUAUGGACUCUGUGAACUGGUUAUGUGAUAGGUCAAGUAACCAACUCAGUUGGUUCAACUUGCUAAACACGCGCCCAUUGAUACUUCCGUUGAGGCCAUUGCUGGAAAGGUUUAGUGCCACCAAUUUCUGGCAGCCAGCUAAACUUGUGGAAUUUCUCCGGAGAACUUGUUCCGUGAUAGGCUAA
Molecule: ribosomal RNA, 327 nt
Filed under: Triticum aestivum (bread wheat)
Lineage: Eukaryota; Viridiplantae; Streptophyta; Magnoliopsida; Poales; Poaceae
Description: partial small subunit ribosomal RNA
Source: RNAcentral